ACUUUUAACAACGGGAUCUCUUGGUUCUGGCGAUCUGAUGAAGGAACGCAGCGAAAUGCGAUAAGUAAUGUGAAUUGCAUGAAUUCAGUGAAUCAUCGAAUCUUUGAACGCACAUUGCGCCCCCUGGUAUUCCGGGGGGCAUGCCUGUUCGAGCGUCAUUUCACCACUCAAGCCUCGCUUGGUAUUGGGCAACGCGGUCCGCCGCGUGCCUCAAAUCGACCGGCUGGGUCUUCUGUCCCCUAAGCGUUAGUGGAAACUAUUCGCUAAAGGGUGCUCGGGAGAGCUACGCCGUAAAACAAACCCAUUUCUAAGCGUUGACCUCGGAUCAGGUAGGGAUACCCGCUGAACUUAAGCAUAUCAAUA
RNAcentral lists this ribosomal RNA (363 nucleotides) under Cladosporium cladosporioides. Its description in RNAcentral is "eukaryotic LSU rRNA". The stretch from base 1 to 158 matches the Rfam family "5.8S ribosomal RNA". The record is from RNAcentral. Lineage: Eukaryota; Fungi; Ascomycota; Dothideomycetes; Cladosporiales; Cladosporiaceae.